UACGUAGGGUGCAGGCGUUAAUCGGAUUUACUGGGCGUAAAGAGUGCGCAGGCGGUUUCUUAAGUCCGCUGUGAAAGCCCCGGGCUUAACCUGGGGACUUCGUUUGAAACUGGGAGACUUGAGUGUGGCAGAGGGGGGUGGAAUUCCACGUGUAGCAGUGAAAUGCGUAGAUAUCGUAAGGAGGGCCAGUGGCGAAGGCGAGUUCCUGGACAGUUACUGACGCUGAGGCACGAAGGCCAGGGGAGCAAACGGG
RNAcentral lists this ribosomal RNA (253 nucleotides) under uncultured bacterium. RNAcentral describes it as "partial 16S ribosomal RNA". It matches the Rfam family "Bacterial small subunit ribosomal RNA", at positions 524 to 776 of the family's 1533-position model. The record is from RNAcentral.